UUUAUGGAGAGUUUGAUCCUGGCUCAGGAUGAACGCUGGCGGCGUGCCUAAUACAUGCAAGUCGAGCGAACGGACGAGAAGCUUGCUUCUCUGAUGUUAGCGGCGGACGGGUGAGUAACACGUGGAUAACCUACCUAUAAGACUGGGAUAACUUCGGGAAACCGGAGCUAAUACCGGAUAAUAUUUUGAACCGCAUGGUUCAAAAGUAAAAGACGGUCUUGCUGUCACUUAUAGAUGGAUCCGCGCUGCAUUAGCUAGUUGGUAAGGUAACGGCUUACCAAGGCAACGAUGCAUAGCCGACCUGAGAGGGUGAUCGGCCACACUGGAACUGAGACACGGUCCAGACUCCUACGGGAGGCAGCAGUAGGGAAUCUUCCGCAAUGGGCGAAAGCCUGACGGAGCAACGCCGCGUGAGUGAUGAAGGUCUUCGGAUCGUAAAACUCUGUUAUUAGGGAAGAACAUAUGUGUAAGUAACUGUGCACAUCUUGACGGUACCUAAUCAGAAAGCCACGGCUAACUACGUGCCAGCAGCCGCGGUAAUACGUAGGUGGCAAGCGUUAUCCGGAAUUAUUGGGCGUAAAGCGCGCGUAGGCGGUUUUUUAAGUCUGAUGUGAAAGCCCACGGCUCAACCGUGGAGGGUCAUUGGAAACUGGAAAACUUGAGUGCAGAAGAGGAAAGUGGAAUUCCAUGUGUAGCGGUGAAAUGCGCAGAGAUAUGGAGGAACACCAGUGGCGAAGGCGACUUUCUGGUCUGUAACUGACGCUGAUGUGCGAAAGCGUGGGGAUCAAACAGGAUUAGAUACCCUGGUAGUCCACGCCGUAAACGAUGAGUGCUAAGUGUUAGGGGGUUUCCGCCCCUUAGUGCUGCAGCUAACGCAUUAAGCACUCCGCCUGGGGAGUACGACCGCAAGGUUGAAACUCAAAGGAAUUGACGGGGACCCGCACAAGCGGUGGAGCAUGUGGUUUAAUUCGAAGCAACGCGAAGAACCUUACCAAAUCUUGACAUCCUUUGACAACUCUAGAGAUAGAGCCUUCCCCUUCGGGGGACAAAGUGACAGGUGGUGCAUGGUUGUCGUCAGCUCGUGUCGUGAGAUGUUGGGUUAAGUCCCGCAACGAGCGCAACCCUUAAGCUUAGUUGCCAUCAUUAAGUUGGGCACUCUAAGUUGACUGCCGGUGACAAACCGGAGGAAGGUGGGGAUGACGUCAAAUCAUCAUGCCCCUUAUGAUUUGGGCUACACACGUGCUACAAUGGACAAUACAAAGGGCAGCGAAACCGCGAGGUCAAGCAAAUCCCAUAAAGUUGUUCUCAGUUCGGAUUGUAGUCUGCAACUCGACUACAUGAAGCUGGAAUCGCUAGUAAUCGUAGAUCAGCAUGCUACGGUGAAUACGUUCCCGGGUCUUGUACACACCGCCCGUCACACCACGAGAGUUUGUAACACCCGAAGCCGGUGGAGUAACCUUUUAGGAGCUAGCCGUCGAAGGUGGGACAAAUGAUUGGGGUGAAGUCGUAACAAGGUAGCCGUAUCGGAAGGUGCGGCUGGAUCACCUCCUUU
Molecule: ribosomal RNA, 1552 nt
Filed under: Staphylococcus aureus
Lineage: Bacteria; Bacillati; Bacillota; Bacilli; Caryophanales; Staphylococcaceae
Also listed under: 8 other names
Description: 16S ribosomal RNA
Rfam family: Bacterial small subunit ribosomal RNA
Source: RNAcentral